UAUACCGGCAGCCGGUAAACCAGAAUCUGAUUCGCUUUCCGCCCCCAGCCGUGCCUGUAAAAUACUAGUACCAUCUAGAUCGAUCGUUCCCGACGAUCUGUUAGCAGCAGCCUAAUGGGCAGGAACCCAGACGUCAGUGAAAUCCAUGUGAGGAAAAAAUUCAAGAUGCGAAGAAAAAGUUUUAGACUUUGCCGCAGCGACGAGAACGGCACCGCCUCGUUUGGUGACCGACACCGUAUGCUCAGGACCACUUCGUUGUACCGUGAACAAUACAACCGCAUCCUUUUUAGAUCAGCGCUUGGCGACUACAAUGAACUCGUAAGGGACGGCAUGCUUACGUGGGAAGCUUAUGAAGAGCAUCGCUUUGCAAUCGAUAGCUCAAUGGAAACUAUCAGGCAAAGUAUUCGAAGAUACAAAGAACGCCGUUUGCAGGCUGGGCUAUUUUACUUGGUGCAUGAUCUAGGUGGAACCGGGAUAACUGUUCAUACACACUUGUAUCGCAUGCCUCUCCGGGAAGCGCUAAGGAAACGCCGACAAGAAAUCAGAAGGAGGAAACCAGUACUCGAUGCUUCCAACAAUUCAAAGGAAUCAAACUUCUUUGACACCAUGGUGCUGAGACCAUCUUUGAAAAGGUUGGUCAUGUAUACGUUGUCUUCCAUUAUAAUAGGUUGUGUUAUAGUUUUCUCUGAAUGGCCAUGAAUAGUGCGGAGUAUUUUUUGUGCACUUGUGCUAUAGGGUUUUUGCUCCCCCUCUUUAGAGAUGGUCUCUAUUAAUGCAUAAUAAAAGACAUAUUUCUUCAAUGUACGGGAUGAUUUAAUCAUUUCAUCGUUUUCUUAGAAGGGUGCAAAAUUUAAUUAUUAUACUUGAUGUAAGAAAAAGUGUCGUGUAGCACGUAAUUGUCCACCCUAAAUGAACUAUAUAGCUCAA
Long non-coding RNA from Triticum aestivum (bread wheat), 927 nucleotides. RefSeq lists it as uncharacterized. The record is from RefSeq and is a predicted model, not a curated record. The transcript has 2 exons. Lineage: Eukaryota; Viridiplantae; Streptophyta; Magnoliopsida; Poales; Poaceae.